AUNAUAAACCCUUUUUANGGCACGCUUAACACNUGCAAGUCGAGCGGGCCCUUCGGGGUCAGCGGCGGACGGGUGAGUAACGCGUGGGAACGUGCCUUCUGGUCUGGAAUAACCCUGGGAAACUAGGGCUAAUACCGGAUACGCCCUUUUGGGGAAAGGUUUACUGCCGGAAGAUCGGCCCGCGUCUGAUUAGCUAGUUGGUGGGGUAACGGCCUACCAAGGCGACGAUCAGUAGCUGGUCUGAGAGGAUGAUCAGCCACACUGGGACUGAGACACGGCCCAGACUCCUACGGGAGGCAGCAGUGGGGAAUAUUGGACAAUGGGCGCAAGCCUGAUCCAGCCAUGCCGCGUGAGUGAUGAAGGCCUUAGGGUUGUAAAGCUCUUUUAUCCGGGACGAUNAUGACGGUACCGGAGGAAUAAGCCCCGGCUAACUUCGUGCCAGCAGCCCGCGGUAAUACGAANGGGGCUAGCGUUGCUCGGAAUCACUGGGCGUAAAGGGGCGCGUANGCNGCGNUUUAAAUCNGGGGUGAAAGCCCUGUGGCUUAACCACAAAAUGGCCUUCGAUACUGGGACCCUUUGANUAUGGUAAAAGGUUGGUUGGAACUUGCAAAUGUAAAAGUUAAAAUNCNUAAAUUUUUCNCAAAAACCACCGNNGGGGAAANGCCGGCCAACUUGGACCAUUUCUGACCCUUAAGCCCCNAAACCCUGGGGACCAAACAGGAUUAAANNACCCUUGNUNUNCNCCCCCUAAACANUNAAAGCCCACUUUUUGGGGUNCNUUGNCCCAAUNNC
This 792-nucleotide ribosomal RNA is filed under the name Methylobacterium sp. SR3/27. RNAcentral's name for it is "partial 16S ribosomal RNA". It matches the Rfam family "Bacterial small subunit ribosomal RNA", at positions 26 to 846 of the family's 1533-position model. Lineage: Bacteria; Pseudomonadati; Pseudomonadota; Alphaproteobacteria; Hyphomicrobiales; Methylobacteriaceae. The record is from RNAcentral.